CUUGGAGCAUGUGCAAUGGUCUCGGAGAAUUAAAACAACAUCCUGCCCGAAGGACCACAGCCAAGACACCACUGGCUUUAAAUUCAAAGCCUACACCACCGGCUUUAAAUUCAAAGCCUGGUCCCUAGCGAAGAAAGCGCUUUAAUGUGCUCCCCGCGCUUCCCGGUGCGAGAUUCCUGCCCAGCAACCAGGCCACGACUGGGUGAGCACCUGAUGCGGGGGGAGGGCGAACCAAGGCCUUGGCGGAUCUGGAGCGAGGAACGAGGGGCUCUCGAAGCUCCGGAAAAGCACUGCCUUCUAGGGGUGGGGACCCUUCGGCAUCCCCAGGGGUGGACACCAAGAACACGUGAGGCGACAGGGGCAGAGAUAGGGUGUCCCGGGCAGGCAGCCUGGGUCCAGCAAGGCAGCCAAAAAGAAGAGGGAAAAGACGGUGGCCCUGGGCAGGGCACAGGCCUCUGAGCUCAGAGGGUGAAGCCUUACUGGAGGGCCGGGCCUGGGAAUCUGGAGUUCUCGACUCCGCCCACCGCACUCACAGGAGCUCUAGAUGACCCUGGUCGGCAAGGAGGCACCCCUACUGGGCACUGAAUAUGAGCAUAAUAAGAUAUUUGUUGAAUAAAUGGAUGAGUGAAGGAGUGAAUGGUGCUUGGCCAGCGCUGGACACAUGGCACGCCCCUUUUUGCCCAGCAGGCAAGCAACAGCAUCCAGGCCUUCCUUCUUGGCUGGGAUGUGGAUAUGUGUGCUGCAAGUUCAGGGAGUGCCUUUUAGCAAGAUAAUCAGUGUGAAGGCACAACCUGGCAACGAUCAUUGCGACACCAGGAAGUUCACAAGGAUUUUAUUAAGAGAAUGAUUGCUCAGCCAUAACCUGCUUUUCCCAG
Cebus imitator (Panamanian white-faced capuchin) is the source of this 875-nucleotide long non-coding RNA. RefSeq lists it as uncharacterized. The transcript is spliced from 2 exons. NCBI's taxonomy places the organism in Eukaryota, Metazoa, Chordata, Mammalia, Primates, Cebidae. The record is from RefSeq and is a predicted model, not a curated record.